This 466-nucleotide ribosomal RNA is filed under the name uncultured bacterium. RNAcentral's name for it is "partial 16S ribosomal RNA". It matches the Rfam family "Bacterial small subunit ribosomal RNA", at positions 28 to 507 of the family's 1533-position model. The record is from RNAcentral.
GACGAACGCUGGCGGUGUGCUUAACACAUGCAAGUCGAACGGUAAGGCCCUUUCGGGGGUCCACGAGUGGCGAACGGGCGAGUAACACGUGAGUAACCUGCCCUCAUCUCUGGGAUAACAGUCGGAAACGGUUGCUAAUACUGGAUAUGAGCUUGCAAGGCAUCUUGUGGGUUGGAAAGAUUUUUUUGGUUGGGGAUGGACUCGCGGCCUAUCAGCUUGUUGGUGAGGUAGUGGCUCACCAAGGCUUCGACGGGUAGCCGGCCUGAGAGGGCGACCGGCCACAUUGGGACUGAGAUACGGCCCAAACUCCUACGGGAGGCAGCAGUGGGGAAUAUUGCACAAUGGACGGAAGUCUGAUGCAGCAACGCCGCGUGCGGGAUGACGGCCUUCGGGUUGUAAACCGCUUUCAAUUGUGACGAAGCUUUUUGUGACGGUAGCAGGAGAAGAAGCACCGGCUAACUACGUG